This is a long non-coding RNA of Lycium barbarum (goji berry), 646 nucleotides long. RefSeq lists it as uncharacterized. The record is from RefSeq and is a predicted model, not a curated record. Lineage: Eukaryota; Viridiplantae; Streptophyta; Magnoliopsida; Solanales; Solanaceae. The transcript has 2 exons.
UAUAUAUAAUAGGAGAGGCAAAAUCACAGUUCCUUAUCAGAAAAUUUCAAUUUUAAAAUUAAAAAAAAAAAAUGCAAGUACGCAAAACUGUACGGUUACAAAUUCCCAGCACUUGGUCCCUUCAGAAAUGGCUUUCAUUUCUUCAACUGCAAUCUCUUCAUCUUCUUAGCAACAAUAACCCAAAGGUUGGCCUGUGUGAAGCUUGAAGAAUACCAAACUGCAAAGGCCGGCUUGGAAACUGGUGCUAGUUUAGCACCGGGAGAGUCGAGGUUCACAAAGCUAAUAAAAGAAUGUGAUGAGCGCAUUGCAGGUAAAUUGGUGCCCUCGAAUCUGGCUCUUCUAGCAUUCCCAAAUCCUGUCAAUUCUAACAUCAACUCAUGGCAUCUAUGGCGACUUGGUGCUAUAUUUUACUAUUUGCUAUGAGGAUAUGAAAAACUAUGCUGUUUAUAGUUAAAAAAUUGCUAGAAGCACAAUUUUUGCUAAAUCAUUGUGGUUAUUUUCCAGACAGUUUUAUGUGUAUAUCUUGGUAUGCUAAUGGAAAAAAUUAGUGCUUAGUAAAACUAAUGUGUAUAUCAAGUACUGGCUGCACCAAGAUUUGGAGUUGGAUUUAAAGAUUAAAUUUGAGGUGAGUUUUGGGAUUUUAUUA